Molecule: ribosomal RNA, 1884 nt
Filed under: human gut metagenome
Description: bacterial LSU rRNA
Rfam family: Bacterial large subunit ribosomal RNA
Source: RNAcentral
UUAAGCUAAGAAGAGCGUAGGGAGAAUGCCUUGGCAUUAGGAGCCGAUGAAGGACGUGAUAAGCUGCGAUAAGCUGCGGGGAUCAGCAAGUAUGAAUUGAUCCGCAGAUUUCCGAAUGGAGCAAUCCGUAUGUGUAUGCACAUACAUCAUAUACUGAAUCAAAUAGGUAUAUGAGGGGAACCGCCUGAACUGAAACAUCUAAGUAGGGCGAGGAAGAGAAAUCAACCGAGAUUCUGUGAGUAGUGGCGAGCGAAAGCGGAAGAGGCUAAACCAUAGGUAGCAAUACUUAUGGGGUUUCGGACAGCAUUUAGUAUUGAUAAUUUCUAGUUGAAACGUGUGGGAAAACGUACCGAAGAGUGUGAGAGUCACGUAAGCGAAAGAGAGAAUCAGCGAGCUGUAUCCAAAGUACCGCGGGACACGUGAAACCCCGUGGGAAGAUGGGGGGACCAUCCUCCAAGCCUAAAUACUACCUAAUGACCGAUAGCGAAUAGUACUGUGAAGGAACGGUGAAAAGAACCCCGGGAGGGGAGUGAAAAAGAACCUGAAACCCUAUGCUUACAAGCACCGAGAGCACGUCAAAGUGUGAUCGGGUACCUUUUGUAGAAUGGUCCGGCGAGUUAUUGUAUGCGGCAAGGUUAAGUGCUUAAGGCACGGAGCCGAAGCGAGAGCAAGUCUGAACAGGGCGAAAAAGUCGUAUGCAAUAGACCCGAAACCGAGUGACCUAUCCAUGUCCAGGCUGAAGUGGAGGUAAAACUCCAUGGAGGGCCGAACACACGUCCGUUGAAAAGGCCGGUGAUGAGGUGUGGAUAGCGGAGAAAUUCCAAUCGAACUCGGAUAUAGCUGGUUCUCUCCGAAAUAGCUUUAGGGCUAGCCUCGUGAAAGAUUACUGGAGGUAAAGCACUGAAUGGGCUAGGGGUCGAAAGAUUACUGAACCCUAUCAAACUAAGAAUGCCAGAUAAUUGAUUCACGGGAGUCAGACAAUGUGAGAUAAGUCUCAUUGUCAAAAGGGAAACAGCCCAGACCCACAGCUAAGGUCCCUAAACAUUGUUAAGUGGAAAAGGAUGUGGGGUUGCAUAAACAACCAGGAUGUUGGCUUAGAAGCAGCCACUCAUUAAAAGAGUGCGUAAUAGCUCACUGGUCGAGUGACCCUGCGCCGAAAAUUCAACGGGGCUAAACAAUGUACCGAAGCUUGGGAUUCUAGAUUUAUCUAGAGUGGUAGGAGAGCGUCGAAUAAGGGGUGAAGUCAGAGCGGAAGCGCUGGUGGACUUUAUUCGAGUGAGAAUGCCGGAAUGAGUAGCGAGAAUUAUGUGAGAAUCAUAAUGGCCGAAAAUCUAAGGUUUCCUGAGGAAGGUUCGUCCGCUCAGGGUAAGCCGGGGGCUAAGGCGAGGCGGAGACGCGUAGCCGAUGCACAUACGGUUGAAAUUCCGUAGCCACCGAAAGAUUUAAGUACAGGGACGCUUUAGAAGUGAUGUAGCCGGGCGAUGGUUGACCCGGUCGUAAGGGAUCGAAAAUGAGUAGAGAAGUCAUCAUGGAAAGAGACAAGAAAAGCUGUAUGAAUAUCUUAGGUGCCCGUACCGCAAACCGACACAGGUAGAUAGGAAGAAGAUUCUAAGGCCAACGGGAGAAGGGUUGUUAAGGAACUCGGCAAGUUGACCCCGUAACUUAGGGAUAAGGGGUGCUCAAGUGAUUGAGCCGCAGAGAAUAGGCCCAGGCGACUGUUUAGCAAAAACACAGGUCUCUGCUAAAUCGAAAGAUGACGUAUAGGGGCUGACACCUGCCCGGUGCCGGAAGGUUAAGAGGAGAUGUGAGAGCAUUGAAUUGAAGCCCCGGUAAACGGCGGCCGUAACUAUAACGGUCCUAAGGUAGCGAAAUUCCUUGUCAGGU